Molecule: transfer RNA, 64 nt
Filed under: Villorita cyprinoides
Lineage: Eukaryota; Metazoa; Mollusca; Bivalvia; Venerida; Cyrenidae
Description: tRNA-Ile
Source: RNAcentral
UAUGUUGUGCCAGAUAAAUUGGAUUGUCUUGAUGGGGCAAAAUAUGAAGUUUUUUCCAACAUAA